UGCAGUCGAACGCUCUCGACCUUCGGGUCAUAUGAGAGAGUGGCGAACGGGUGCGUAACACGUGAGAAACCUGCCCCAAAGACGGGAAUAGCCCGAGGAAACUCGGAUUAAUACCCGAUACCUUCACACAGCCGCAUGGUUGAGUGAAGAAAGUUCAGGCGCUUUGGGAGGGUCUCGCGGCCUAUCAGCUUGUUGGUGAGGUAACGGCUCACCAAGGCAUCGACGGGUAGCUGGUCUGAGAGGACGAUCAGCCACACUGGGACUGAGACACGGCCCAGACUCCUACGGGAGGCAGCAGUAGGGAAUCUUGCGCAAUGGGCGAAAGCCUGACGCAGCAACGCCGCGUGGGGGAUGAAUGCCUUCGGGUUGUAAACCCCUUUUAGCAGGGACGAAAAUGACGGUACCUGCAGAAGAAGCUCCGGCCAACUACGUGCCAGCAGCCGCGGUAAUACGUAGGGAGCGAGCGUUGUCCGGAAUUAUUGGGCGUAAAGAGCUCGUAGGCGGUUCAGUAAGUCGGGUGUGAAAACUCAAGGCUCAACCUUGAGACGCCACUCGAUACUGCUGUGACUUGAGUCCGGUAGAGGAGUGUGGAAUUCCUGGUGUAGCGGUGAAAUGCGCAGAUAUCAGGAGGAACACCAGCGGCGAAGGCGGCACUCUGGGCCGGUACUGACGCUGAGGAGCGAAAGCAUGGGGAGCAAACAGGAUUAGAUACCCUGGUAGUCCAUGCCGUAAACGUUGGGCACUAGGUAUGGGAUCAUAUCAACGGAUUCCGUGCCGUA
Molecule: ribosomal RNA, 779 nt
Filed under: uncultured Acidimicrobiia bacterium
Lineage: Bacteria; Bacillati; Actinomycetota; Acidimicrobiia
Description: bacterial SSU rRNA
Rfam family: Bacterial small subunit ribosomal RNA
Source: RNAcentral